AGUGAACGCCGGCGGUAGGCCUAACACAUGCAAGUCGAACGGCAGCACAGAGGAGCUUGCUCCUUGGGUGGCGAGUGGCGGACGGGUGAGGAAUACAUCGGAAUCUACUCUGUCGUGGGGGAUAACGUAGGGAAACUUACCCUAAUACCGCAUACGACCUACGGGUGAAAGCAGGGGAUCUUCGGACCUUGCGCGAUUGAACGAGCCGAUGUCGGAUUAGCUAGUUGGCGGGGUAAAGGCCCACCAAGGCGACGAUCCGUAGCUGGUCUGAGAGGAUGAUCAGCCACACUGGAACUGAGACACGGUCCAGACUCCUACGGGAGGCAGCAGUGGGGAAUAUUGGACAAUGGGCGCAAGCCUGAUCCAGCCAUACCGCGUGGGUGAAGAAGGCCUUCGGGUUGUAAAGCCCUUUUGUUGGGAAAGAGAUCAAGCUGGCUAAUACC
Molecule: ribosomal RNA, 443 nt
Filed under: Stenotrophomonas maltophilia
Lineage: Bacteria; Pseudomonadati; Pseudomonadota; Gammaproteobacteria; Lysobacterales; Lysobacteraceae
Description: bacterial SSU rRNA
Rfam family: Bacterial small subunit ribosomal RNA
Source: RNAcentral